GCGGGCGUGGCGAAACGGUAGACGCAGCGGACUCAAAAUCCGCCGUAGCAAUACGUGUCGGUUCGAGUCCGACCGCCCGCACCA
RNAcentral lists this transfer RNA (84 nucleotides) under Allobosea sp. RNAcentral's name for it is "tRNA-Leu". It matches the Rfam family "tRNA". Rfam says of the family: Transfer RNA (tRNA) molecules are approximately 80 nucleotides in length. Their secondary structure includes four short double-helical elements and three loops (D, anti-codon, and T loops). RNAcentral also lists the same sequence under 4 other names. The record is from RNAcentral. Lineage: Bacteria; Pseudomonadati; Pseudomonadota; Alphaproteobacteria; Hyphomicrobiales; Alloboseaceae.